GACGUAGGGUGCCAGCGUUGUUCGGAAUUACUGGGUGUAAAGGGUUCGUAGGCGGUGUGGCAAGUCGGGAGUGAAAUCUCUGGGCUCAACCCAGAGUCUGCUUCCGAAACUGCUGUGCUUGAGUGUGGGAGAGGCGCGUGGAAUUGCAGGUGUAGCGGUGAAAUGCGUAGAUAUCUGCAGGAACACCCGUGGCGAAAGCGGCGCGCUGGACCACUACUGACGCUGAGGAACGAAAGCUAGGGGAGCAAACAGG
RNAcentral lists this ribosomal RNA (253 nucleotides) under uncultured bacterium. RNAcentral describes it as "partial 16S ribosomal RNA". It matches the Rfam family "Bacterial small subunit ribosomal RNA", at positions 524 to 776 of the family's 1533-position model. The record is from RNAcentral.